This is a long non-coding RNA of Rattus norvegicus (Norway rat), 23110 nucleotides long. RefSeq lists it as uncharacterized. NCBI's taxonomy places the organism in Eukaryota, Metazoa, Chordata, Mammalia, Rodentia, Muridae. The record is from RefSeq and is a predicted model, not a curated record.
UCCAAUUCUUGCAGAGGACCUGAAUUCAGUUUCCAACACCCAUGUAGCAAAUGCCUAUACCUCCAGCUCCAGGGGACCUGAUGACAUCUUUUGGACUCUAUAGGAAUCUGUACUCAUAUACAGAUAUAUACACAUAAUUAAAAAAAUUUAAAAAGCACUUAAGAGGCAAGAUGUGUAGCUGAGAGAAAUAACAAAACCCCAGUUUCCCAUAUUUUUUGUUGAGGUGCUGGACGGGCAAACCCACCGAGAAAGUGAGAAAACAUGCGGCGAACAGCCACACUGGAACCGUGCCGGAACACGAAGCUCGGCUUCCCUUUUCUGCUGACCAGGAAGCUGUUUUCCACUGGGAAACGGACAUUGCGCGACUCGCUUUGAUUUUCGCUGAGAGCCUCGCUAAAACGCCACGCUUUAGGGAUGGCCAAAAAUAGGUGUUGGGGCAGUAAUUGUAUCUCUCAGACACACGGAGUGAGCUGCUGAGAGAGCUGAUUGCACUGACAGCAGGAAGAAGCUGCUUCUCAAAGGCUCGUGAGUGAUGUGCAAUGUGGAGAGCCAUCUCCCUGCAGCAUUUAUGAACGUCCUCAGCUCUUGAGUUUGACCCUCACACAGCAAACAGACCUUCCUUGUCAGUGGAUUACCAGCGUAUAAUUUUUGCCUAAGCUGGAAAAGCACAGAAAUCAGAAGGAAUCAUCUCUACUCUGAGACUAAAACAUGUGUAAACAUUAUCUCGUCCUACCUUUCCUGGAUGAUGAUAACUCAUGGCUGAGGCCACCGGACAGCCUCUUUCUCCCGAGAAUCAGCAUUCUCACUGCAGUGAAGCAGGGGUCACCAGCAGCAUCUGGGUCUGGCUCACUGGUGUUAUUCUUUUCCACCAUCAAUAUUGAUUGUUCUUAUAGCAUGAAUCAAGACCAGACAUUACAAAGGAAAUCAUCGCUUCAGAAAAGCCGACAUACACCGUGGCGAUUAUACUAGACUUAGGACAUUUAACAAUGUUCCAUAUGCUUGCAAAGUGCUGAUGAAGUAUUUACAAGUUUUAACCAUAGAAAAUAUAUGUAAUAUUAAGAGAGAUAUUACCUUGAUUCAGCUUAUAUCUCAAAGUCUAUUUGUAGAAGAACAUUCUAUUGUACAGAUGAGUUACGUAAUUUCCAUUUGUCAGUUAAAUACAGGAGCUCUCACUUGUUAAACUAUAUAAAAAUACUGUGCACUGUUUAUGGACACUGGUUAAAGAAUAAGUGUUUGAAAAAUCUCCUCACUUUGGUGGGGGAAUGAAGCUUCAGAGGAUUAAUGAGCUCAGGGAGGGGGAGGAUGAGGUGUGCUGGGCUUAGGAAGGCAACGGCAUUCAUAUUUCCUGUGAUUCUCAGAGAUUAACAAGAGAUGAUACAACAUAAAUGUGGUUAAAUACUAAGUCUGUGAACUGUGGGAGAUGGGUGGGUGGCUGUGUUCAUCCUCAGCAGUAUGGAUUGAAGCUAGGGCCAUUUCUAAGGUGCAGAAGGACCCUCUGGAGCCUGCGCACAGGGAUAGGACGCUGAGGACCUCUGCGUCUCCUCAGCCAUGAAUCCACCGCGUGGUCACAAUAGGAGUUAAGGUGGACAUGCGACUCACUUAAGAUGGAAACAUAAAUCAAUAGAACAUGAUUUAACCUGGAAGUCACAACAAAAGCUGGCCAAGAGGGAAGAGAAUGGCAGCAGGGGAUUCUGGGAGCUUCGAAAGAUGCUGUAGGAGUGGACAUCCAUGUCACCGGAUACCAGAAGGUCCCAAACACUAGAGAUGAACUCACUCCAAAACUGCAAAAAAGCUGGGGCUAGAUACUGCCAGCGAACGCACAACUGUCCUACUUGAUCUGCCUUGGCUGCUAAGCCUAGGGAGAAAGUAGACAAGAGAGCUGGCAGGCAUACAACCAAACAUCAGACAUCUUCAGGAAGAAAUAACUCAUUGUAUAAAAAAAAAAGUCUGUGCACGGCACAGCUGGCCCAGCGCCUACUAUUCUCAGGGUGCAAAAUGAAAAUAAAUCCAGACGGUUAGAACAAGAUAGCAAGUGGUCUAAGGAUAGGAUAGGUGCUGGGCAAUGAGCAGAACAAAGACUCUACCAUUACUUGAGACGAGAUAUUCAGGGGGAAGCCACGGUGUAGGUAGCCUGGCUCCCCACAGAUCUAGAUCGAGGCACAAGCAAAUGUGCACUGGAAGUUUGUGGGAACACUGUAAGAAGAGGUGGGGUUAGCAAAGUGGGGAGGCCCAGGGAAGAAGUACCCUGCCGAGGUAGCCAGACCUGCCAGGCCCUGAGUCAAGGGAGCUGCAGAGAGCACCUCUCUAGCUGUAGAGAAGCUGCACGAGGACCACAAACCCAAGGUUAGGAGGUGACUGACUGACUGACUGACUGACUGACUGGGCAGUAGGAGGAUCAGCCUUGGCAAGAGGAUGACAACAGAGCUGUGCCCCAAUGUGAGGUCCCAUGUGCUCCCUGCAGGAAGCGGAUGUCCUGAUGAUGGUUGGGGGUGGAAGAGUAGCUAAGGGAGGCAAAGGGCAGUCUAGGUUUCUGUUUAGGCAUGGGUAUUAUAGAACUGCCAUUUCCUGGAUGGAAGUGACCAUGGGUCCAAUGAUCUGCAAGUCACCCCUCCCUGGUAUUCUGAAGCCACUUAAACUGAUGCAUGUGCAGCCAAGAGACAGCCAAGCUCUAAACUCCUCUGUUAAAGAAUAGGGAGAAAGACAAGAGAUCAGAUCAUUCUUUAAAAGAACAGAGAGGAAGUUAGUGUUUAAAAGGGGCAUUUUCUACCCUCAACAUCCCUCUAAACAUGGUUUUUAGUAGAAGCUAAAACUCUGUGCUUUCUGUUUCCACUCAGCGCUAACUAUGGUGAGUCACUUUUUCAGGCCCUGUUACGCAUCACAAGCCCAGCAUUUGUCACUGUUUGGUGUAGAGCAGCACCUGAAAGCCUGUGGCUUACUUCUUAGUAGGAGGUGGUGGCAUCAAGUGGGGCUUAGUGAAGACAAUUUAGAUAAAUAGGGGAAUAGCCUUGAUGGGAGUACUUGAAUCUCAUCCUCUCUCUUCUUUCUUCCUGGCCACCAAGUCUGACACAUUUUCCCUAUGAGCAGCUACCAUGCAUAAGCCCCAAGGCAGCAGGCUAAUGAAUUAUGAAUUGAAACCUUCAAAAUGUGACCUGAGAUAUACCUUUUCACUUUUUAAAUGGGAGGGAAGGAGGGAAGGAGAAAGGGAGAGAGAGGGAGGGAAGAAAAGGGGGGAGAGACAGAGACAGAGAUGGAACCCAGGAUCACGUACACAAUAGGACAGGCCGACACUCUAUCAUUAAGCUACAUCCCAGACUGUCUUACUUUUCUUUCUAACUUUGACAUACAUGUGCACAUGUGUGGGUGUGCAUGCAGAGACCACCCAUGAACAGUAGAGCUCCAUUGCUUUCCACCUUAUUUUGUUCUCUUACUCUCUCGUGAACCUGGCUAUCACUGAGUCCCUGGGAUCCUCCUGUUUCCACCUCCCAAUGUUGGAAUUAUAAGCACACAUUGCCACGUUUUUUUAAAACAUGGGUGCUGGCAAGUCUGACCUCAGCUUUUCAUGCUUGUGUGGCAAAUACUUUGCCCUCCCCCCAAACCCCGCCCAAGCCAUCUUUCUAGCCUCCUUGUCUUAAGAGAUGUUGUUUCAGUAACACAUGCUGAUAAACACAUCUCUAAUUGGACAAUUAGGAAUCUAACGACUCUGAUCCAGACGGUUUGGGCGCUGACACGAUGAUGCUUAUACCUCCCACAGUGAAGCCUUUCAGAUUUUGAACUUUUGAAUCAAGACCUAUCAGCUAGAAAACCAAACACAAAUACUACAGAUAUUUCUUGUGCCAAGUAUUUUAGAUAAGGGGCACUGAUUUGAGCUCUCAGUGCAAAUACUUUGGGAGGAGAAGUCACUGAAGCUUUAACAUAAAUGUCUCUGUGGUAGCUUCCACAGGUUGCUCUCGGAGGGACAUAAUAUGACUAUUCUAUUUCUAAUAUAAUUUUCCCAUUUGUUUAUUUCAUGGGGGGGGACAUAUGGAGGUCAGAGGACAACUUGUACAGUCGUUUCUCUUCUGCCAUGUGGGCCACAGGAACGGAACCUGGGUCCUCGUGCAAAAUGUGUUUUUACAUGCCAAGUCACCUCAUGAGUCUAAUGAGAACAUUUUGAUUAUUACUUUUCACAAGUACACAGAGAAAAGAAAAAAAACUAUUUGAUAAUUCGUCCCCACUGUGGAUUGAGGUGCACAGAGCUCUACUGGGUAAGUGCUACACAACUGAGCCAUGGGAAAGGAAUGCAAAGCUAGGCAGCUUCACCAGGAACUGGUAUUUGUUUCUGGCAGGGUCAUGCCCUUCUGGGAAUCAAUGUAGUAACAUAGUCUUCUGAAAGCCAUAAAAUUCCCAGAUGCAUUGAUUCACUAUUUCUUCUGCUAGUUCCAUUAAAAAAAACAAAUCAAAACAAACAAACAAACAAAAAAACUUCCAAAGGAAAUCAGUUCCUGAGACAAUGGUGUCCUGUAUGAGUAGAAGGGAGUGAAGUGACAGACUCAGAGCUUCAUCAGGAAAUGGCUGAGAGCCUGCACCGUGCUCCCUCUCCUCUCCUCGGCUUCUCUUACUUCUCCUAAAGACUUUGGGUGGUGGUGAUUUUGAAUCCACCCAGCACAGGGAAAGAAGACUCUCUGAGGCCGGAGAACUGUGUCAGAAUCCAACGUCCAACGGACACAACCUAGAGUGACUCCCUGCCUGCACGGCAGAUAGAACCCAGGGUCUGGCAUGCCAGGCAAGGGCUUUCCACCGAGCUGGAUGCCCUGUUUCCAUAAGAGGAAGCACAUCCAGCCUCAUCACGGCUUUAUGGAAACACAGCAAAAUUUUAAGCAUGCGAUGCUAAAUAGAGAGGGAAGAAAUCAAAUCUCUCUCUCUCUCUCUCUCUCUCUCUCUCUCUCUCUCUCUCUCUCUCUGUCUCUCUCUGUGUGUGUGUGUGUGUGUGUCAAAGUGACUCUACCUCUAAGAAAGGCUCAAAGUGACAAGAAACAUUGGAGCCUAGAAGCAUUUGAUGGGAUUCCCAGUCUGUUCAUCCACACCCUAGAGGCACAAAUUGGACUCAGUGGGUAAAAAUACUAAGGUGGGGAUUAAGUUCAGAGCAAUUGAUGGCCCUGUGGUCUUUGGAGGAGUUAGAGUAGGGGAGUGAGGUGGAUAUGAUAAAAUUUACUGUAUGCUGCAUGAGAUUUCUCAAAGAAUGAAUAAAAAUAUUAUUUUUAAAUUCCCAUCUGCUAUUCAUUUUAUAAUUUUGGAUAAAUAACGUAAAGAUACAGUUUAUACAAAAUCGAUUUCUAACAAAAGCGAGUUCUACCCUACAAGCACAGCCCUCGGGGUAUAUUUUCUUAUGAGAGAUUUGCGAAUGUUCCAGAAACAGCCUUCUUGAGCUUUUCCAGGCUAGGACACGCCUGGUUCCUCGUACUUGUGGGAACACUGACACCAUGUGGUGGAGUCAGCUUCAUACACAGGCUUCUGGCAACCUCUGGGAGUUCAUUGUCUUGCCCAGAGACCAGUGGCAGCUGGGAAGGAAGGCAGGCUGGAAGGCAUGGGAAGUAAGACAGAAUUUCUUUAAGAUGGUAUUUCUAAUAACGGUUCCUAAGUUGUCCUGCGUUCAUGGAAGCAAACGUUUCUCAGUUGUCCUGUGUUCACGGGCUUCCUUGAUAUUUUCUGGAGUCAUAAAUGUUUGGCAUUAACCAGAGCCUGAGGGUGGAGACUUCAGCAAGAUAUGGAACCCACCACAAACACAGGAGGCUCUGCCCACACAGGGGAGACAAUGCCAUGCUAUCACAGCUUUUCCUGUGAACCGAACAAAGCAAGUGAAUAAACUGUAAUUUUAAUUUUAUUUAUGUUUUGAUCAUUGAUUCUUUAACACUUCAUCAAAAAGCCUUUGGCUUCAUGGUAGCAAGCAAGACUACACUAUCAGCAAGGCUCUUGUUAAUAAAUUUUAGAGAUUGGUGCAUUUAUAGAAACUGUUUCUAACCAGAUGAUGGGGAUUAUUAUUACAGGUAGAUUAUCUCUCAUGGCUGACUCUAAACGAGGUCUGGGCCUUGCGCGGGGUCCCUUCACUAAUGACAAGUUCUCUGACAUUCCCCUCCGUGGGCAUAGAAAGAGGAGCUUCCCGGAAAGUGUGGGAUUUCAAGAGAAGCAUUUGGAGGGAUUAGCAAGGUGCUAAGUGUAUUUUAGGAGAUACAAAUGACAAAGGAAGCUAAAUCUUGGAAGAAGGUAAACUUCGAUUUACAGAAGCUGAAUUUGCCUGAGAAGUGGGUUACACAGACCACCAUCUGUCUACACUGAUACUGUUGUUUGUUUGUUUGUGUCAUAGGCAUAAUGUACUACUUAAAGCUUCUCAAAAAAAAAAAAAGCAAUCAACAAUCUUUGCAAUCUCCCUGAUAAGGUUCUACUGGACUGUGCUCAGAAGGCUUCCCGUGGGUGGUGCUGAGCACCACAUAGGUUGUAAAGCAAUAAACAGUCAUCCACAGGGCCUGGAAACACUUGAAAUCAAGGGAUGGAUCACUUGUAGCUUAUCACUGGAUCUAUAUAUUUGGUAGUCUCUCAGUCUAUGUAGUACUACUUGGAGGAGGACUAGUUGCCUUCAACUGUUCAAAACAGAAAAUGUACAACACUGUGAGGACUCCUGGGACCCCAACUGCUGAUGCAAUUGGAUCCUGCCUGCCGGUCAGAUAAGGGUGUACUUGCAGGCUAGCGGGCAACAGCAAAGUGACAAGAGAUAGUAGCACGGUGUUCUAAGGAAUGCUCUGUCACCUUUGGAAAGGGUACCAAAUACACAAAGGCACUCAACACGUUUGACAGAUUUGAUCAAUAAUCCACCUCUGAAAGUAGGGUCUUUCUCUGUCUGUGAAUGGAAGAUUUAACAGAGAUCAUACAACUAGGCUAACCAUGGAGGUCAGGAAGGGCUUGGGUAGCAGACAUUUCAUUAGAUGCUAUUCAGUCCUAGGGCUUCCACUGUUUUCACAAUCUAUGGCUAACCAUAUCAAAGGUUCAGUUAUAGACUUCGUUUUACAUUAUCCCUUUUUAACAGUAUAUUAUUUCACGUGGAUUUUUCUAAUAGAAAUCACAUAUCCCAGAGAAUACUCCACAUCCGUGGGUAAUCAUCUUUUCCUUCCCUCACAAUUCUGUAGUCCUCGGUCAUACUGAAUCAUGGUUGGUUAACCUCUCAGUCUCCCACUGAAGGGCCCCUGGGUGUUGUUUAGCUCCUGCUAUUACAAAUAAUACCACAAAAAUGGCCUCCUGCAUCACCACAAACUCUGGCAAAGGAGCUUUUGUGACCAAUAGAUUUCUAUUUGCCGGAUUUCUGAUGUAAAACAAUAAAUCUACUUAUAGUUUGGCUAGAUAACACUAUUCUCCGCUUUAAAUGCGAUAGCAUUUUACAUUCUGCUCAGUAACGCAUUUGUAAGUCCCUACAGAUUAGCCAGCAGAGGUGAUGGGCAAACCUCCGAAGUUUUGUUAUCUAGUAGGUAAUAAAAGAGUUUUGCUCUAAGGGUAAAUGGUAUUUCUCAUGACUAAGCUUCAACUAUUUUCAAAUAAUUUAUAUGCCAGGUACAUCAGUUUUCUCUCUGCCCUGUCUAUGCACUCCGAUCAACGUAGCACCUUAAAGAUGCCUUCUCCACAGGAUAUUCAGAGUUUGUCAGUUUUUAUACAACUCUCACACUGGUGUUUACUUUCGCCGCCCCUCCCUUUCCCUGGAUCGCUUUCUUAUGCCUUUAUUCUUCGUGCUGCUAUGCAAGAUUUGCCCCCAACAGUCAAAUUAAAACUUGAGGUGGGAGACACAGUUAGAAAAGUAUUCACGUGUGUGUGUGUGUGUGUGUGUGUGUGUGUGUGUGUGUGUGUGUGUGUGUGUGUGUGUGUGUGUGUUUUGCUGGUCACAUGCCAGGUUUCAGUAUGAACAUGUAGAUUUCUGAUCUUUGAAUUUGUUCUGGCGGUUGCUGUGAGAUGUGCACACGUUUUAUUUGUCUUCGGGGUCAUUCCCAGCCCCACUUACUGAUGCCCACUGCCCUUGCUGUUGAGCUGACCGUACUGUAUUUUCCUUGCAACUGACUCCACGUUUUCCCGCUGCACCACUGCUCACGCUUAGAAUUCUCCUCAAAGCUGCAAAGCCUACUUGGAAAGAUCGGCGAGGCUUUCCAUUUCACAGGCUUUUCAGGUUUUCUUGGAUCUUCUUGUGUGUUAACUUUUUCCAACUAAAUUUUUAUUUAUAAUUAACUUUAUAAUUAAUUUAACUGGUGCUAAAACAAAACCUAACUGGAACAAGGGCACUGAACAACCUGUCCAAGAGUAUGGCCUCUGCUCUCAUAAGCAGUUCUACAGUUACAUGUAUUUUCGAGGAUCUUUCAUUAUUUUCAAAAAUGCUUUGGACAUUUUCUAUGAAGUUUUUGCCUAGGUUCUCUCAUCUGUGACUCACCCAUCCAUCUCUCAAUCCAUCCAUCCAUCCAUCCAUCCAUAUUCUCACUUAGCCAGCCAGCCAUGCACAUCAUGACUAUAUUCCUAUGUUUCUACGUACGUCAAAAGAGCUCACACAGUGUUGCAAUGCUCACUACAAAAUUAAGCUAACCACUCAUUAACGUAGGAAGAGUUACUACCUGGUUAUAGAAUAGCUCGAAUAUGUGUGAGGUGCCAAGACCUUGGAUAUAAUAAUAGCUUCCCUGCUCAAACAUAAGAAGUUUGUUUAUUGAGUGUGCGAAAUAUUAGAAGAUAUUUUUCAACAUUUCCCUGAUAAAACAGGUUGAUGAAAGACAAGCCUUAAAGAGUAAUGCAUUUAUGGCCAUCAAAAAAACGUCUUCUGUUGACCUAAGUCUGUUUAAUAGCAGAGCAAACACAAUGCCUGGCUGAUGCAAUUAGUUCACGUAGGAACAUACUUAAGACUACAGCAGAAGAGGUCUCCUUAAAAUCAUUAGCUGACUCUAUUCAGUCUGAUGCGAUUUGUGUGGGAAAAGACAUAAGCAAGUGUGUGUCCCCUGGGCUCAGGGGAGCUUCUGGAAUUGCAUUAAAUCCUCCAAAUUGCAAACAUUCUUACUUGACAGAAAGAGGUGGCGAUAAUGAAGGUGGAAGUCUGGUUUCCACAGUGCAUUAAAAUAAGGACAUCAAGAGGAGGAAGCUCGUGAGGUCUGAGCAGUAACUUGUGUUUUCAAGUGCACACAGAAGACCGGUACGUCUCAGCGGACAGACGUGCGCAAUUACCAGGGGCACAUAUUCAUUUAUUUCCUUGAACUUUAAGAUGUAAUUGGACUUUUGUAACUGAGGUAGAUUUGACGUUUUCUUAGGCCGACAAUAAGGGCUCGCUGUACCAAUUAACUUAGACGGCAGGCAUUUUCCUCAGUCUGAAUGAGCUGACUUUCACUAACCCAGACCGUGACCAAAAACAAGUCUAAGAUUGUUCUCAAAUAAAAUUCCAUAUUCUUGACUGAAAAAAAAAUAGACUUUACACUCUAUGAAAAUACAAAUCAUUAAGAGUUUGUUUGCCAAACCUAGUAGAACGUACGAAGACCUCAAGUCUCUCAAACAUAUAGUUUAGAAAUUACCCAUUGGCAAAAGAAGAGUAAGUAUGAUGAGCAUUUGACAAAUGCUAACAGAGCUUUUUCUUCCUUUAUACCUCCCAGAAGUCACUGUUCCAGUGUGACUACAAAUCUAAUAGCUCUCAACUUUUGGCCAUGAACAAAUUUGGAAGAUAAUUUUUGAUUAUAGAUCACUGCUUGGCAGGGUGUUGUGUGCAAAGACAUCAAAGAAGUGAACAGUGGUGAUGUGGUAAAAUUGCUCCACCCUUAUAGACAAUUCAUACAUAAUGUUCUCAGUUUACAUCAGCACAUGUGGAAAGAUAUACUGAACUAAUACUGAGUCUCUUCAGGAUCUGUGAAAUGGGCAAAAGACAACUCAUCUUUCAUUUUAUUAAGAAACGUCUGCAAGAAAAAUUUACACCUCUGGUUUAAUGAUUCUAUAGCCAUAACUUCUGUAUUUUUAAAUUAUCUUGAAAUUGUCAUAGAAACUUAACCUAGCCAGGGGAUGGUGGUGCACGUCCACAAUCCCAGCACGUGGGAGGCAGAAGCAGGCAGAUCUCUGAGUUCAAGGCCAGCCUGGUCUACAGAGUGGGUUCCAGGACAGCCAGGGCUACAUAAAGAAAUCCUGUCUGAGGAAAACAGAACAAUCUAUGAAAAUGUUUUCUCAUUUAAAGCCGUAUAAUCAUAGAAAUGAAAAAAAUGUAGAUGGGUAUUUCUCUAUCAGACUUUAUUUCAAGUUGUUAAAAGAUAUUUUCAAGUAUCAAAACCACACUGGAUAGAACGAGAUGGGAUGUGCAACUAAGAGUGUCAGCUCGGCAUUGUUAAUGCCAUGGAGAGUUGGCCCAAGUAAUCUGUGUGUGCAAGCAUGCACGUGUACACAUGUGCAUGUGUGUAGAGGAUAGUGAAAUGGUGAACAGAAGCCAGAGGAGUGCUGUCUGUCCUGCUCUGUUAUUCCCACCUUUCUCCUUUGAGAUAGCUUCUCUCACCUAGACUGGUUGGCCUCCGAGCUUCUAGGAUCUCCUUAUCUCUACCCUCCAACGCUGGGGUUAUAGGCACACAAAGUGGCCAUUCCUAUUUCUGUGUGUGGAUGCCAGGCACUGAGCCAUCUCCUUACAGCUGUCUAGAUAAAUUUUAGAGGUAAAUGUCAGGCUUUUACUAAAAGUAUUCAAAAUAUAAGUACUUAUAUGAUGCAAUGAUUUAUGCUGUUUUGGGUGUUUAACAUUAUAAGGAAACUUAUAAUGUUAGAUGCCAAUUUUGAAAUGUUAAAAUAAAACAGUCAUUUAAGAGAUUUCUUCCUGGGUUCUGUUGACAAUGUAUAGUUACAGAGCUUAAUAAAUCCCAGUGGCCACUAUCGGCCUACGUCUGGUAGUGUGUGGGGAAAGUUUCAGAAAGUGUAAAUCUACGGAGUCCGUUGCAGGGUUCUCCUGCGCACUCUCAGUGGACUAGAGACGAGUAGAGGCUGAAAUCCCCAACACUGGCCAAACAAGCACGUGCAAACACAUGCAGCACACAGAAACGAAGCAAUGGCAUGGACUGGAGCUAAUUUUCACUCUUGUUACCUGCGAUGCUGCCUGGCUAGCAGAAGCACCCGCUGGAUUAAGUACUUACGUUCAAGUCCCCUCCAGACGCUGACUUCGAGGGAUCCUCGUCGCUAUCUGCGCCCGACAGCCCAAGAUGCUCAGCCUAGAACACAGACAUGCACUCCACCAUCAACUCAGACAAGAAAAUAAAGCCCAACAAGAGCAGCCAUCCUUAGCAGCUACAAUGGCAGACAUCAAAAAAAAUAAAUAAAUAAAAAUGAAAGCAAACAAAACAAGCAAACAGAAAACCAGCACAGGCAAGCUUGAAGCAAGGCAGAGGGAAGAAUCUAUGCGCACUCCUCCAUUUUAGGAACUGGAGUGGUAUUUCGAAACAGCUCCUACCCAAAGCACCCCCUCAUGCCAAAAUCAACUACUGAAUCCAGAACUCAUGAGAAGAAACUUGUCUUCUCCUCUUUUAUUUUUUUGUUCUUUGCCCCAAAUCAUUUCUUUAUUUAAAAAAAUAUUCAGUUUAGAAAUAAUAGUGACUAUAAUCUGGCAAAGUUAGAAUAGCAAAUCAACUGGUGAACUAGGUUUUAAAGAUAGCGAAGUUUUAAUUGCUCCAUAGUUAACGGAUUGAAGAUACACAGAACCCAUUUACCGAACAAACAGCUGAUUCCUUCUCUAUCCACAAAGGGCAAACAAUACUAUUCCAUCAGCUGCACAAUCAGGUAGGGAGAGCCAAUUAGAAAAUUCAAUUCCCUAGCCUCCUAAUGAGAACCUAGGGACUUAACCCAAGAAUUCGUGCUUUCAAUUAGACCUGAGGUUGAAAUUUAGGUAUGUUCUUAAAACAACUAGUUUGAGAGAAUGAGUAAUGUCAAAAGUGAUACAAAAUUGGCAUGCAUUAAAAAAUUAAAAUAUUAAGCAUUUGUCCUUACUUGCCCCAACCAAAAUUAAAGUAUAUAGAUUAUUAACAUACACAUUCACUCACCUAGACACCUAUGCAUAUUCUUCCUUAAAGGCAGCAUACUAGAACGCAACUUCAGUUUGAAUGCUUUCCUAAGUCCCCAUUCUCUGAUUUUAUGCCGUACUGAGGCAUGAGCUUGUCUGUCUGUCACCGUGUCACGGGAUUAUAAGAACCGUUAUAAAGUUACUUACUCAAAGUGCUUUUGAUGGAUAAAGAAAUUGAAAGUCACACUUUGCUAAGCACUGUGCGAUGUGCAUGGAGGACUGACAUCAAGGACUUAGGGAUUCAUUCUAGAAUUUACUAGUACUAGAACGGACUAAACUAUCAAGAUGUGAGCUGUUUGGCUAUACUGAUGGACAAUGAUGACCUUCUCUCUCACCAGGUAAGGAUGCAUUCAGCAUGCCAAAAUCUCUAAUUAUAGCAAGGAUAGAGGCAAAGAGCUAGGAAGCAUCUCUCUCUCUCUCUCUCUCUCUCUCUCUCUCUCUCUCUCUCUCUCUCUCACACACACACACACACACACACACACACACACACACACACACACACACUGAGCAACCCAAUAGCAACAAGGCUAAGUAAGUGGAUAAUGUGUAGAGCAGGAAUAUAUUUAAAUAAAGCAGAAAUAAAUGAAAGAUGAGGUACAUAGAAAGUGAUAAAUGACCCUAAAAGUCCAAGGCAGAAAAGACAAGCUAUUGCAUAAUGAGAUAUUCUUUUAAUGAACAGGGCAGACUGUGCAUCAACAGUGACUCUUUCCCUGAUGGAACCUGGGUUCCUGGUGCUAGUCCUUCCCAUUGUCAAAAGGUAGAGGGUCUCCACACUUCCAGUAGAUAGUGGAGGGAUGGGGACACCAACCCAGCUUCAAAAUUUUUGACCCAUAAUUGCUCCUAUCUAAAGAAAUGCAGGGACAAAAAUACAGCAGAGAUUAAAGGAAAGACCGGUCAACCAGUGACUGGCCCAACUUGGGACCCAUCCCAUGGAUGGCCACCAAAUGCUUAUACUAUUACUAAUGCUGUGUUAGGCUUGCAGACAGGAUCCUAGCAUGGCUGUGCUCUGAGAGGCUCUACCAGUAGCUGACUGAGACAGAUGCAGAUACUUAUAGCCAACUAUUGAACUGAGGUCAGGAACCCUGGUGGAAGAGUUAGGGGAAGGAUUGAAGGAGUUGAUGGGAAUGGCAACCCUAUAGGAAAACCAACAGCAUCAAUAAACGUGGACCCCUAGGAGCUGUCAGGGACUAAGCCACCAACCGAAGAACAUACAUGGGCUGAUCCAUGGCCUGUAGCUCAUGUGUAGCAGAGGGCUGCCUUGUCUGGCCUCAGUGGGAAAGGAUGUGCCUAUAUCUGUAGAGACUUGAUGACCCAGGGGAAGGGGAUGUGAGAGGGCUGAGGGGGAUGGAUGGAGUUGGUGGGGAGCACCCUCUCAGAGUCAAAGGAGAUGGGGAACAGAGUGAAGAACUCUCGGAGGAAGGACCAGGAAGGGAGUCAACAUUUGGAAUAUAAAUAAAUAAAACAAUUAAAAUUAAAGAAGUUAGAGGGUCUCUAAACCCCAAGCUUCUUUCGGUUACCUUACGAGCUAAACCAAAUGUUUCCCUACCCUUAUAUUUUGCUUUAUCUGCUGGGGAUUGCCUCUCAGUGAGGGAGCUGCAGAAUCAGCUAGAUCUAAGGUGAGGGAUGGGGAAUUAAGAGUUUUAUUAUGAACUGGUAACCAAGGGGACGGGAGAAAACACAGUCCCAGCAAGUUCAUCUAAACAAUACCAGGAACAAAAACACAAUUAAGAGCCCUGAAGAAUUCUGAUUCUUUAAUUUCAUUUAUACUUGACAUGAAAGGAAGAGGCCAAGGAAAGGAAGGGGAAGAACAGGAGGAGGGGGUGGUGAGCUACUUAAGAAUAAAAAGAUCUCACUAAUGAGACAUACUCUGAGCACAGAUUUUCAAAGGACACAGAAAAACAGGAUAAAGAGCACAGAAUAUAUAAUUAUAUACCUCAUCCUUCACAAAGCGGAAUGAGAAAACCAUUACAAGGUUUCAGGAAGGAGGAAGAACAGGCCGUGCUAGCCCCACAGAUAAAAAGAGUUUUGCUCUUCGGUGUCUAGAAGUUCAUGCUGCAGCCUAGUAGAAGGUGCCCGUUGCCACCACAGCUGGGGGUAGCCUGGGACACCAGGCAAAGCACCUUAGGUUUUAGCACCACCACCAGCAAGCAUAGAGUAAGUCGUAAUACUAAGAGUGCAGGUUCUGAAGGAAAGAGCUGGCUGAUGUGUAUGCAGCACAGAGGUGCAAGUCUACGAGGCUGGGCUGACAGACUUCCUCGCCUCACAGGUGGAGGGCCUGUCCCACUUCAGAGAGUGACAUGGAUAUCAAUUACUUACCUUAUUCUUUCCUUCGUAAAAUCGGUGUAUGUGUGUUAUAUGUGUGUCUCACAUACAUGUGUCUGAAUUUGUGUGAGGAGCUGGGGAUACAAACUCAUUUUCGUGCUUGCAAAGCAAACAAACACUCCUCUUACUCAGUGGGCUAUUGCUUUAGCCUCAACUUUGUAUUUUUGAGCCAUAGUUAUUAGCAAGGAACGGAUGCUCCACUUAUUAAAAGAAUACAAUGGUGUUAUUGUGCUCUUUGCCAGGUAACCGGAAGGUGUUUAUGAUUUUUGAGGCUCUUUAAACUGAAUAGAUAAAUAAAGCUCUUCAUUUUAACUCUUCGCAGUAUGAUUUUAAAUCACUACAAAAUAUUGCGUUAUUAUGAAUACUUAUUGAGCAAAGAACAGCAAGAUAAAAAACCAAUUAUAAUGUUCUGUGAUUUCAGUCAUGUUAAAAAGGUAAAAAAAAUGGGGUUGGGGAUUUAGCUCAGUGGUAGAGCGCUUGCCUAGGAAGCGCAAGGCCCUGGGUUUGGUCCCCAGCUCCGGAAAAAAAAGAACCAAAAAAAAAAAAAGGUAAAAAAAUAAAAACAAAAACAAACAAGCAAAACCAAAAGAAAAAAUUUACUACAGAAAAUGGGGCAAUUCCAGAACAAAUAUAAGUGAUCCUGACUGCAACCCCUUCAGACUUCCUACUUUAAGCUGGAAAGCUGGAAUCAUCUGCAUGGACACUGACCAUGAUGUUUAAACUUAAUAAUGCAAGACUCACUCAUUCCCAUCCCCAGAGGCUGCUCACUGAGUCUCACUGUACUAAUGAGAGCACCCGGCAGGAUGUGGCUGAGGAGUCCAGAGGCUUUCAGCUCUACCAGUGAGUGAAACGUAAAACACUUUUCCCUUACAUAACUGCCUGAAGCCUCUAGUGAAGAUUCAGUAUCACUAAACAGUUACUUUUUAAAAUCCCAAGGCAGGUGCAGUAGAAACACUGUGAGAAACUCCUUCAGAUCCCAGAGUCCCUCGCAUGUGACCUACCUUACUGUUGCUCCUCUUAUUAACUUUGAAAAACCCAAGAAAUUUUUUCUUCUCCUUAUCUGUCUCAUCAUUGCCAAGGGAUGAUUUCCUGAGCAUUUCUGGAGGAGGGGAGGAAAAAAAGAGAAGGAGUACUAUUAUUUUUCAGCAUUUGAAACAUGAGAUUAAGUACUUCACUUGUUAAAACCUUAACUGAAUCCUUUAAUCUGUUAGUUCUAAGAAGAAAAUCAUCGAGACUUCCAUCAAAGCCUUCCGCGCUACCUCAAAGCCCUCCAGUCCAGAGGAAAUCACGUGACGUUCUUAUACAGGUUUUUAGCGACUAAAGCAGCGUUUUUCUCUCUGAGAGUGGCUUUGUCCUCCUUGUGGGAGAUGAAAAGAACCGGAUCAAUGGACGGUCAAUAGCGAUGCCGUUUAACAGAGGCCUAGUGCAAACUCUGCUGCUUUGUGUUUGCCAACAGCAGCAUUAAGGAUAGGAGAGGUUACCUUCAACUGCAAUUUUAUCCAAUCCAAAAUAAUUACAAUACUGUCAUUUACGACAGUCAGUAUGAAAGCGACUGAUGCUUUGCACUUGCUUCGGUACGGAGUCUGCAAAGGCAGAGUUGACCUGAGGUUGGCAAUGCUUCUCCUUUUGGACUCCCCGAACAUGUGUACUACUUCAAGUUGUAAAUGCAGCAGGUGCAACCAGAAACCAUUGCUCUAAGAGCUGUGACAUCUUUGCAAAACCAGUCUGCCGUAGGAGGUCUGAGUAAGGUAAAAAUGCUAAUUAAAUCAUGAAACCCCUGUUCUUUCCUCGACCAUGAAGCAACGGUGAAAGAGACUUGGUUACUGUUUGAACCUGAUCUUCAGGGAGUCUGGUCAUCGCUUUUUUCUUUCUUUUGUAUUUGAUUUAAAACAACUUAUCUUGUUUCGCGUGUGUGAGUGUGUCCCUGUAAUACAUGCCUGUGUACCAUGUGCAUGCCUGCUGUCCACAGAGGCCCAAGGAGAACAUCAGAUCACCUACAACUAGGGUUACAGAUGUGUGGGAGUAGCUUCCAUGUUCUGGGAACCAAACUCGGGUCCUCUGAAAGAGCAGUAAGUGCCCUUAGCCACUCAGUUGUCUUCAUUGCGGUCCCAGAACAUUUCCUCUUUAAGAUUAUAUUCUCCUAUUUGCCUAUUCUAGGCUUUCACUUACCCUGCCCUUCUCUCCCAACACAGGAAGAUAUGACAGAGUGGAGAAAAACUAAACAAAAACAAGAGGUCUUUUUGUAAAGGGUAGAAACAUCAAUUUUCCCAGAUCAAACUGCAGGACAGCCAGACCUCUAGACCACUGGUGGAAAUAUUCCCUUGUGGAAUCUGACAAAGUGCCAGCUCAGAGGAAGACAGAAGGCCAAAGGCAUUUGCAGGUGUGGGAGUAAAGAGACAUCGCAGGAUAGAACAACAACCUCCAUUCCUCUUUUGCCCAUUUCACCACAGGAGAAAGCCCCAGCUGCCUGACUCUUCCCACACCUAUCUGUAGACAGGGUUCCUGGCAGCUGCAGGGGGAGAAUACAGCUCCUCUUAUAGGCUUAAUAACUAGGAAGUGGAAGUCUUUACACUGCUUUGCAAGGCUCACGACCUGGAAUUCUCUACACAGGAGAAGGAACACAGGAAAGCUCCACCCAGACACCAGGAUCUCACCUCCCACUAACCACGCUCUGCUUCUCCAGUCCACUGGGCAGAACCACAGUGAUGUCCAAGGUACUGUUGUGAAGUGCCUCCUUCAAGUGGACCAGGCUUUGCUGUGAACCCAGUGUGGCGUCAUGAGGCAGUUUCUGUUCGCUGUGGACAUUCUGGGCAGCAGGCUUUCCAGGAGGUGGUGGAGCGCGGGCCUUCAUCUUCCUUCUUGAAAACGAUAACACAGAAACACUGAGGCUGAGAGCCACUGCGUUCAACUGUCCCCGCGUUCCUGAACAAAGCUGACUUGAUGACAAACAUUCAUUUUGAUGUUUCCUUGAAUUUUAUUUGUCAUCAUUUUUGUUGAGAAUUCAUUUUGUUUAGAGAAAAAUCUGGGAAGUUUUUACAUAUUUUACAACACAUUAUGUGUUCAUGGUACCCUUUUUUUUUUUGAUUUAAAAAAAAAAAAUCUUUGUGGUGGUUGCCAGAGGCAGGGGAAGGGGGAAUAUACAGUUGAUGUUUUAUGGAUGCUGGUUCUGAAAGACAAUCAGGUGUAGAGAUGGAGGGUGGUGAGAGCUGAACGUGACACAAGUGAACCACACACUUGAAAAUGGUUGGAGAGGUCUAUUUUAUGCUCUGGGUUUCUUAGCACAGUCUGAAAGUUGUCCCUUUCCAGCUAACAACGACCUCAGUUCACAGAUUUACUAAGUGCAUCUUAUUUCCAUGGAACACCUCUGCCGCUGUCCGUGUGGUGGUGGUGGGGAGGGUGCUCUGGCUUCCACCACCUCUGAUGCCUUAAAUGCUAUAGGUGGCUGGUUUCGAUGAGCCGGCUGCAGGAAACAGCAGGGUACUGAUCGUGAAGAGGGAGCAGAGAUUUUAGGCCAUCUCCUGUGAGGUCAGGAGUAGCACGAGUGGGACAGGCAGGGAUCCUGAUUCGGGAAACAGGCUGUGGUGGAAUUUGUCGAUGCCUCAAGCUUGGCUCCCUCCCACUCAUCAUCUUCCAAGGGAUAAUCUAUCAGUGCUGAUACCUUAUAGUCAGGUUUGUCAAGGAUGCGUGCAUUAGGAUCAGAAGCUUCUAGUGUAAAUACGCAGCAUUAGAACAAGGGAAUCCUGUUUUGCCUGCUCCGUGUGGAGGCAUGGCUAUACUGAAUGCCCUCCAAAGAACAUAGUCAUAGUGAGAAACAGAAAACGCCAGCUUCCUGCGCUUUUGAAAGGCACAGAGAGAACAGACGCUGUUCCAACAGAUGCCCCGAGUCACCUCCGUUCAAUUGUGAAAGCCCAUGAGUACUACCAUGAAGAUGCUUCUCAAAGGUCGAUACUGUCAAUCUGCAGAAGGUAAGAUUCGGGGAUAUAGGAGCUUGAUCGAGAGGGUGGAGCUUCUGCCCAAGUGUUAAGAAGUACGAAGGGUGAGGACCUUGCCUGCUCCUCUUGGGGACACCCACGGCAGGUGCUGGCUCACCUGCCACCAGGUAGGUCCAGCCAGGGUUCUUGAGAGGAUAAGUCACCUGCACACAACCCAAACUCCUUUCCAGCUCUCUGAGUUAAAACACUGGGUGUGUCCCAGGAGGAGCUGUUUAGAAAGCGUAAAGCGUAUUAUAUAAGAAAAUGUUUCUGGCGUUUCCAAGUCAUUAGCUGUGGACUCAGAUGAUGUGGGGCCACGAUCCAUCCGAGCUCCUGAGUACUUACUGUUUUCCCACCAGGUCAGGGCCCCCAGCUGGAUUUUAUUUCUGAUAGCUUUUCACUGAAGAGAAGAAUGCUUGAAAUGUGUUCCCUGAAAGCGAGAUGACUUAUGACGCCAUGGGUUAAAUGGUUCAGGGAAUGAAAAUCUCAAGUCUCUGUGCAGACAGAUAAAUCAAACUCAAAUUCCACAGGAAAUUCAUGACCUUCACCCAGACUAGAGAGGCCAGGAUGAGGGAGUCCAAGGCCUGUAUACUGACUGAACAGGGAAAAAAUCAUACCUCUCCCACCUUGCUGUAUCCCCCAGGCCAACAUCUUAAAGGGGAUCUUCUUUCUUUAUGUUUCACAGAUUGUGUUUGUUUGUUUUGUAUUUUUAGCCAUCCAAGAACAGCAGACACAGAAAGCACAGGCUUGCUUACACUAAUUCCCCUGAUAAAACCAAGUAUGUAAUUCCUGCACUUUCCCAUGCUGGCUGAUGCUAAAGACAUUCUAGUGGAAUCAGGUGGAGCUGGCACAUGCACCCUGGCUGCCAAUCAGACCAUGAAGCAAAUCGGCAUCUGCUUAUGCUGUAGCACCUGGGUGUUUCCUUUCUCUCCCGGAGGUCUCUGGAUUCCCAUGUUAGCUCCCUCCUGGAAGGGAGCCUUUGCGUGCAAAAUGAGCUGCCUCUGUUCUGUUUGGGUGUCAAUUACCAGCCACAACUCUGGAUAGCAGUUCCAAGAAAACAAGGGCCUCCACAUUCUGGUUUAUCACUGACAAGCCCACGGACAUCAGCUCAGAAACUACUGAACCAUAGUGUUUAUCUGUGACUGUCUUGUGUCCGACUUUGUACACAAAGGACUUCAGGAACCCCACUCUCACCCAGACCAAGUCAGGUGCCAAGAAGGGGAAUCCUCAUGUCCAGCAUCAACCCCUGCAUUUAUAAUCCACAACGGUCUGUUUGUCAACUGUCAUUUCCCUGAAUAAUUAUGAACCAGUCAUCAAGCAAACAAUGUAUCCAAUCCUCACAGGAACUUAUUAUGAUGUCUCCCCUCUAAUUCUGAUGAGGCCGUUGGGGAUCCAUUAGCCCUAGCAAUGUAUCAUUUAAGCAAACAGCUAAAAUGACAGAAUGACAGAUGUGGCAUUUCCGAACCUCAGGCACUCCCCUAGGUGCUGUGUACUCUAUGUUGCCUUAAAUAUUUUCCAAAAGUCAAACAAAAUAUAGAUAUAGAAAUGUAGUCCCUAUGCCCUAUCUUAGCACAAUGGAACUCAGCAAUCCUAACAUUCAGGGCUCCCUCUCUAGCAAGAUUGUCUUUUGUCUUCUGAUUAGGGGGAAAUAAAAGACAAGUCGGGAAACUUCUGCCAAAGUUCUCACGACUGGCCUUGCCUUUUAAAACAAAACCUAACUCUAAGCAGGUAUCCAAGAGCCAGAUAAGCAAGGCGUAGAGUAUGCAUGUAUGAAACAGAUAAGAGACCGCAUCCAAACUAUGGUGUGCAAGAGGGCCAUUUAGAGGUGCCGUCUAUCACAUCGCUCGUUGAAUGUGGGGAAGUAAGUUUACCCAAAAAACACCUCAUUUCAGGGCAAGAGUCAGCCCCAGGACACCCUCUUAUGAGUGCAAAGUAAGUAAUGGGUGCUGUUCCCAAGUCACUAAAAUGUCAGAUGCCACCUAGCAAAUUCUCUCUGGUGCACUAUAUCCUCUAGCAGGUGCCUCUACCUGGACAAACCAUUGUAAUUUAUAGGCCUUGGUUUCCCUAAGAGCUCAACAAAAAAAUGUGGAAGUUUAUCAAGCGGUGUUUGCAGGAGGACUGUAUGAGAUGACUCCUCUUGGGACCAGGCAAUGCUCAGUAACCAUUACUGAACCACAAGUAGUUUUACUCUCUGGGAUUAAAAAAAGCCCUUUUAUCUGUGUAAGGGUAGAACACUGGCCCACUCUCCCAGAUGCACAAUGAAAGCUCACUUACACAGCCAACACACUGGGAACUAAGAAAUGCUAUUCACAAUAAAAUUUUAGUUUUGACCUGGGUUGGAGGAAGCUUUCAGGAACUGGCCACAAAAAGAUUCACUCUCCUGAUAGGAUUCUCUACGACAGAGUAACAAAAGCUAUUAGUCCUUACCAGCCUCUAAAUUCAGGGGCCAGUAUAUAUGGGAAUGUUGCUAUCUUACCAGACAUCAGGUACAUAUUCAAAGAGAAACAUUUGAGAGCUAUUUCCCAACCCCUAGUGAGAAAGAGCCCGUAGUGUGCAUGGCUUAUUAUCAGCAAAUACUCUACCCUGGGGCUGAGCCCGCAGCUCAGGCUCCGAGAAUCAGAUAAAAACUAGAGUUCCUGUAUUGUUGAAUAUUCCAGAAAAGGAGUAUCUCCUUUCAAAAACAAGCCAAUACUAGUUUACUGAGGUUUUAACAUUCUCAACAAACAAAACAAGCAGAAAAGGCCAACAUAUGGGUCCGUCUCAGGCUGCCCCCUGCCCAGGCCAGGGGACUUCUCACUCUACUUAGAAGAGUGGGCUUUCUAUGGAGGUCAGUGCAGUCCCAGCAGCUACAGGACAGAUUCCACUGGGGUCAGCUAGGCCUUGUAAAGAAGCACAGUGACAUUUAUUGUCCAGCAGACACAGUGCUUCACAGGUGGGGAGGCUGCCUCUGCCUGUGCUCCCAGCAAAAAGCCCACAAGGCCUUCUGCAGAAUGACAGACAGCAAGGGAACUGUCUCCCCCAUCCAAUUUAAACCCUUUAAAAAACACAGAGGAGAACACGGGAAUUAGGCAGAAGGCAGAGUGGAGUCCUAAGGAAUGAGGAUGCCUGGUAGCACCUGUUUCUUCCUCCCAGAGAGCGUGCAAACCUCUGGGAGUUGGCAGUGUGGACACACAGGCGUCCCCGUGGGGAGGAUGCCUGCAUAUUUUUGGAGAGAUGAGUCAGCCCUCCUAGCUGCCAGCCAACCUUACAUGCUUAAGCUUUGUUGAAUUUGCAUAUUGCACUGUUUCCUAUCACCUCUCAGCUAUGAUGCAGAACCUUCUUCUUCUGAAGGAGUCUGGGGUUUCUCCUUUCCCAACCUGUACAACCAGAAGCUCCUUAUUUCUUUAUAGCCUGUCUUUAAGGGGCGGUGUGUUGUUUAUUAUUUUUUUUCCCAAGCCUGAAAGAUACGUUCUGUUCUACCAACAGCCCUGUCCCAGAAUCACAAGGGCUGCUGCUGAUCCAACAGGCGCAGGAAAGCAGAUAGACCUCUGAGUCUCUUGGGUCUCAGCUCUCCUGCAGCCAAGGCUUGAGGACCCUAAAGAAGGCACAGCAGGCCUCAGGAUCUGGGAAUCUGGCCAUUCUCCCCAGCUCUCCUGCCACUGGCUGCUGCCUGCAUUGCUAUACAGACUGCUGUGUCGCCAACAUCAAUGACACACCUGGCUGACAAGCUUCCACAGUUGUGAUCAUCCUCUGACCCCAAGGACCAAGGUAGUCACUUCCAGAGUAGACCUAGGAAAGUACAGAGUAGGCCCCUAGCAUCCCCUGGGAGAGGCCAUCAUCUCCUCUAAUCUUCCCCAUGACACACACCCAACACACUGAGACAACCCCUGCCCCCAUACACGCACACCCUGAGUAUCUAAGUCUAUAGUGCCCUAGCCUCUAACAGUACCCAGACAAGAGCUUUCUUAGCAGUAUUGCAGCCCUAGCCUCUGCCUCUUGUACCUGCCACCUGCCUCACCAACUCCUGAGUCCCAUUUCAAGACAAAGAUGGAUCUUCUCUAGACAAUUUCCAUCUAGCCAUCCUCCAUGAAACAAAUGUCUCCACUCCUUGCUGGUCCAAAUCCAGAUUGUUCUGCCUCUUAUACCUAAGACUCCAGCGUUAACAGCAUUCAUCAUUCCCUGCACAAUCCAUGACAAGAACCUUGGUGGUUCUACACAUGGCUGGGGAGGGGGGGUGAGCCCCUUCAUGGUCUUUCAGUCUCUGCCGAUCCUCUUUCAGCUUCCACCGAAUGGGUAAGCAUAGGGGUGGAUCUAAAGAAGAGUCACGGUGUGGCCUGUAAAAAGUGUCCACAGAGGGAGAGGACGGGGAAAUAAGACCCCAAGGAAGUGACUACGGGAAAAGUUAACACCCUGGGCUCAAAUCUCAGCACCAUCAUGAACAGGAAUGCCCUAGCAAUAUACCCUGCUCCUGCCUCUCUUUGCCUCUGAAUGAUGGAGAUCAAGUAAAGACUACAGGUAUCUAAUCUUCAAAGUACACAGCCAAUAUAUUCAGUUCCUGGUGCCUAAGCCUUCAGAAAUGACCCAGCAACACAGUGCAAGCCAUGGAGCAGUCUGUGUUACAUGCUUGCUGAAACCUAAGAGCUGACUCAGAAUCCCAUAUUCAGACACUAGGAAUGGGCUUGCACUGGGGAGCCCUGGGACACAGUAAUAAGUGUCCUGGCCCCUGCUAGCACACUACCAAAAAAAAAAAAAAAAAAAAAAAAAAAAAAAAAAAAAAAAAGAG